This is a long non-coding RNA of Scophthalmus maximus (turbot), 873 nucleotides long. RefSeq lists it as uncharacterized. The record is from RefSeq and is a predicted model, not a curated record. Lineage: Eukaryota; Metazoa; Chordata; Actinopteri; Pleuronectiformes; Scophthalmidae. The transcript has 3 exons.
GAACGCAGAUCGCGCUCUGCCGCCUCCUUUUAAAAUGUCUGUAAAAUGUAAACUGAGCCCAUCGGACAAUACAGCGCCGGCUUCUCAGGAGGACUGACGGUGAGCGGACUUUGCCUGAAUCAUCCGACUGUAGUUAUUAGCAACACUGGACAUUCACCGGGACAAAAACCACCUCCCAUGAAGCGAACGGCGGAGCAAACAUGGACACGUCAUUUAUUAUGAAGACAGAGCAUGAGGGACAAUGAACGGCAAAGGGCAACAGAUCGUAACCGAAACAGCGGCUGCUGCAGAGGACUCAGUCCCUGUGGGACGCCUGCUCCACCAGGUGUACAAUCCAGCGCUGAGAGAUAUACGUCCGAGCGCUGAACGCUGUGAUCUGCUGACAGUGAGUGACAAGACCCCUCUCCUGUCCCCUCCAGUGUAACGGGAGCCCUGUACCUGCUGAGCCGAGCCCCGACCCCCGCGACCUCUGACCCCACCUGCCAGGUCUUUCUCAUGCCCACCCUGACCUGCGGUGAAACCAGAGAGCGCUGUGGGAGAGAGGGAAGUGCGACCGGCAUCAAACGUCGUCAUCGAGGUAAACAGCUUCCCGGUUCAGAGGUGGAAGAUGAAAUGAAGCCUGAACAUGCAGGACACUGUAUUUCAUAAAUGGAUGGAUCUUGUAGCAUCAAACAAUAUAAUUUCCAAUAUAAAGCAAUAUCUACAAACCGUCUACAAAGUACACUGUACUGUUUAUUAACUCGUCAUCUUCAUCCAUCCAUUUACUGUUUUGGCUCAUUUGGGAAAUGUGUUCCAAUAUAUUUGGGCCUAAUUUAAGAUGUAUGUAUUUUCAUUGCAUUUAAAAUUGUCAUAAGUUUGCAUCACACAGCCAAC